AUCUUCCCAUUGACAGCACAUAUAUGACAAUCAGAAUAAUACACAGAUUAGCACUGCCCUUAAGCAAGGAUGACACUCAAAUUUGUGAAGCAUUCCAUACUUUU
This is a small nuclear RNA of Arvicola amphibius (Eurasian water vole), 104 nucleotides long. NCBI's taxonomy places the organism in Eukaryota, Metazoa, Chordata, Mammalia, Rodentia, Cricetidae. The record is from RefSeq and is a predicted model, not a curated record.